AAUAUGUAGAUUUUUUUUGCAGUUGCUGAACGGAAGCGACACAUUAUUUCUAGUCGAAGGCGUAAAUGGCGUAUUAAGAGGAAACAAUCACAUUUGCUGGUCUACUUUAAAACGCGACAAUAAUGUACCUACACAUCGCCAUAAUACGACCUACUAUACUGUCGAGGAAAAGAAAUCUAGGAGAAGGCAAAGAUCUACCAGAAGUAAAAAAUCUACCAAGAGUCAAAAAUCUACAAUCACUUACAAGUUAGAAAGCAGGGACACGUACUGGUCUGUGGGAACAAUUAAUAGUACUCCAGUGGUUUCGAUGAAUGUUUACGAUACAAGAGCACAAACUUUUAAUAUAUCUGGUGACUACCUUCUUUUAGAGACCCAGCCUACUUGCAUUGUUAUGGGCAUACUUACAGGCAACAU
This is a long non-coding RNA of Dermacentor andersoni, 414 nucleotides long. RefSeq lists it as uncharacterized. The record is from RefSeq and is a predicted model, not a curated record. Lineage: Eukaryota; Metazoa; Arthropoda; Arachnida; Ixodida; Ixodidae.